CGGUACAAUUUCACUCGCAGGGCAGUGAAGGAUGGUGAUAUGUGCUUGGAGAAGAUAGAGUCUCGUCCGAACUAUAAUAGAAGGAAUCAAUUGCAAGUUGGAGAUUGGAGAGGAUCGACAUUCAGCAAUGAAAGGAACACGAAACCACCCUAUCUCUUUUGGAGUAUAUGGAACAAGCAAAAUAGAAGAUUGUUUCAUGAUGUUGAAAUUGCUGUACAAAGAAUUAAAAGAACUUACUUUUUACUUGUA
This is a long non-coding RNA of Solanum pennellii, 249 nucleotides long. RefSeq lists it as uncharacterized. NCBI's taxonomy places the organism in Eukaryota, Viridiplantae, Streptophyta, Magnoliopsida, Solanales, Solanaceae. The transcript is spliced from 2 exons. The record is from RefSeq and is a predicted model, not a curated record.